UUCGCAAUGCCCGAAAGGGUGACGAAGCGACGCCGCGUGCGGGAAGAAGGCCUUCGGGUUGUAAACCGCUGUCGGGAGUUAAGAAAUGCAAGGAUAUUAAUAGUAUCUUUGCUUGACUAAGGCUCCGGAGGAAGCCACGGCUAACUCUGUGCCAGCAGCCGCGGUAAUACAGAGGCGGCAAGCGUUGUUCGGAAUUAUUGGGCGUAAAGAGCACGUAGGCGGCUAUGUAAGUCGGUUGUGAAAGCCUUCCGCUCAACGGGAGAACAGCAUCCGAUACUGCGUAGCUUGAGUGCGGGAGGGGAGAGUGGAACUUCUGGUGGAGCGGUGAAAUGCGUAGAUAUCAGAAGGAACGCCGGCGGCGAAAGCGGCUCUCUGGCCCAUAACUGACGCUGAGUGUGCGAAAGCUAGGGGAGCAAACGGGAUUAGAUACCCCGGUAGUCCUAGCCGUAAACGAUGGGCACUAAGUAGAGGGGUUUU
RNAcentral lists this ribosomal RNA (477 nucleotides) under uncultured anaerobic ammonium-oxidizing bacterium. Its description in RNAcentral is "bacterial SSU rRNA". It matches the Rfam family "Bacterial small subunit ribosomal RNA", at positions 365 to 832 of the family's 1533-position model. The record is from RNAcentral.